RNAcentral lists this ribosomal RNA (253 nucleotides) under uncultured bacterium. RNAcentral describes it as "partial 16S ribosomal RNA". It matches the Rfam family "Bacterial small subunit ribosomal RNA", at positions 524 to 776 of the family's 1533-position model. The record is from RNAcentral.
GACGAACCGUGCGAACGUUGUUCGGAUUCACUGGGCUUAAAGGGCGCGUAGGCGGGUGCUCAAGUCCGUGGUGAAAUCCUCCGGCUCAACCGGAGAACUGCCUCGGAUACUGGGCGUCUCGAGUGUGGUAGGGGUAUGCGGAACUAUCGGUGGAGCGGUGAAAUGCGUAGAUAUUCGCAAGAACACCAGUGGCGAAGGCGGCUCACUGGCCCGGUACUGACGCUGAGGUGCGAAAGCGUGGGGAGCAAACAGG